UACGUAGGUGGCGAGCGUUGUCCGGAUUUACUGGGCGUAAAGAAUGCGUAGGUGGAUAUUUAAGUGGGAUGUGAAAUCCCCGGGCUCAACCCGGGAACUGCAUACCAAACUGGAUAUCUGGAGUGCAGGAGAGGAAAGCGGAAUUCCUAGUGUAGCGGUGAAAUGCGUAGAUAUUAGGAGGAACACCAGUGGCGAAGGCGGCUUUCUGGACUGUAACUGACACUGAGGCAUGAAAGCGUGGGGAGCAAAC
This 250-nucleotide ribosomal RNA is filed under the name uncultured Youngiibacter sp. Its description in RNAcentral is "partial 16S ribosomal RNA". It matches the Rfam family "Bacterial small subunit ribosomal RNA", at positions 524 to 773 of the family's 1533-position model. The record is from RNAcentral. Lineage: Bacteria; Bacillati; Bacillota; Clostridia; Eubacteriales; Clostridiaceae.